CCCUUAGAUGUUCUGGGCCGCACGCGCGCUACACUGAUCGAUUCAACGAGUUUUGAAAUACUUUUUAUAAUUUUUCAUAUCCUUUGUCGGAAGGCAUGGGUAAUCUUUUAAAUGUCGAUCGUGAUGGGGCUAGAUUCUUGCAAUUAUUAAUCUCCAACGAGGAAUUCCUAGUAAACGCAAGUCAUCAGCUUGCAUUGAUUACGUCCCUGCCCUUUGUACACACCGCCCGUCGCACCUACCGAUUGAAUGGUCCGGUGAAGCCUCGGGAUUGUGGUUGGUUUCCUUUAUUGGAGAUUGAUUGCGAGAACUUGUCUAAACCUUAUCAUUUAGAGGAAGGUGAAGUCGUAACA
This 350-nucleotide ribosomal RNA is filed under the name uncultured eukaryote. RNAcentral's name for it is "partial 18S ribosomal RNA". It matches the Rfam family "Eukaryotic small subunit ribosomal RNA", at positions 1470 to 1796 of the family's 1831-position model. The record is from RNAcentral.